AGUGUGUCCGUGGCCUCAGACUCACAGCCUCCUCUGGAAGGGAAGAGAGAAGAGGAGGAAUCACUGACCGGCCUCUGGUCCAGAAGAAAGGAUGAUUUUUAUAAACACUUUAUCGACGUGGGAACUUGAUGCUCGUCUCUAACAUCAGUAAAUGAUUCCUGCUGCAGAGACAAAAGCUGCUCAAAUUAGAAGAGACGCUGGAGAACUCUGGAUUAAAAACUGGGGCAUUUGCUGCAUGAAUAUUUGACUUUUAUCUUUUGUAUUAUCAUCAUCAGUGAGAACCGUUGGUGGGAGUCAUUAUCGGCUGCUGGUUUCAUUGAGAAAUACGACAAAAGCUAAUCUCUGUUUGCUGAAGUGCAGAUUCUGUUUAAUUGAGCACCAUUCGGCACAACUUCACCGACAGUAUGAGGGCCCCUAUUUUACAAACCUAACAUUAAAAAAUGAAAUACACAAAUGUCCUUGAUGAUUACCUCUGAAAUCAUUCAGUAAAGUCGUUUUCUCUGUUGUCCAGUUCAUAGAUAUUUGAAAUACCAAUCAUUUCAUGUGAAGCUUGACUACGAGUGUCUGAGGCUCUACGUGAAUUCACAGUCUGUAACCACCGUUCAACAUGUUUGAGGAUGUCAGGCCACAAAGUCCGAGAAGGUUGUGAUGACAGACUGAACACGGGUAUGAGCGUGUGUAUGAAUGUCUAAAAGUGACAUACAUG
This is a long non-coding RNA of Sebastes umbrosus (honeycomb rockfish), 706 nucleotides long. RefSeq lists it as uncharacterized. The transcript has 3 exons. Lineage: Eukaryota; Metazoa; Chordata; Actinopteri; Perciformes; Sebastidae. The record is from RefSeq and is a predicted model, not a curated record.